Molecule: ribosomal RNA, 253 nt
Filed under: uncultured bacterium
Lineage: Bacteria
Description: partial 16S ribosomal RNA
Rfam family: Bacterial small subunit ribosomal RNA
Source: RNAcentral
UACGGAGGAUCCAAGCGUUAUCCGGAUUUAUUGGGUUUAAAGGGUGCGUAGGCGGAUUGAUAAGUUAGAGGUGAAAUGUCCGAGCUCAACUCGGGAACUGCCUCUAAUACUGUUGAUCUAGAGAGUAGAUGCGGUAGGCGGAAUGUAUGGUGUAGCGGUGAAAUGCUUAGAGAUCAUACAGAACACCGAUUGCGAAGGCAGCUUACCAAUCUAUAUCUGACGUUGAGGCACGAAAGUGUGGGGAGCAAACAGG